RNAcentral lists this long non-coding RNA (650 nucleotides) under Sinocyclocheilus grahami. Its description in RNAcentral is "lncRNA (ENSSGRG00000016959.1)". Lineage: Eukaryota; Metazoa; Chordata; Actinopteri; Cypriniformes; Cyprinidae. The record is from RNAcentral.
GCCUUACACAAACAAGCAAACAAUUUUUUUAUUUUACACUAGGCACAAUGCUUACCUGGGAAGAGUGUCUACUCCUGAUAUCUGGCACCCACAGGACAUUUGACACCAUUAUGAAGGGGAAGGGUGAUAUUCAUGAUAGUGACAUUUCAACGCUAAGAGAAGGUGAUCUCAUUUUGAGGAACAUAAAUACGUUUCUCAGCCCAUUUUAUCAUGCUGGGAUUUACUGCAGAAAUGAAGAAGUCAUUGAGUUUACAGCCAAAUCACAGGAAGGCGGGAAAGGAUUCAUCAGUACCUCAUCAUCAGAUAUGAAUGGUGGAGUGAGCAAAGCAGGGCUGAAUAAUUUCAUCAGUCAACAACCAUACAUUGUUCUUCGUUUGAAGAUUGCCAUACCCAAGGAUUUUGUUGGCAGAGUUAAGGCAGCAAUGAAAUCCACAAGAAUAUAUAAUCUCUUGGAGAGUAACUGUCUGCAUUUUGCUCUGGAACUGCUGGGGCUAUCACCACUGCCUCUUCCAGAACGAAAGUGAUGUCAACAGAACAGCAGCAAGAGAAAUAUUGCAAGCACAAGUAUAAAAUUGAAUCUGUUGAAAUCUUAACUUGUAUUUGCUGUACUCUACAGAUUUUAACUAAUCCUUUUAAAUAUGUGAUAUGCA